This 580-nucleotide ribosomal RNA is filed under the name uncultured Dechloromonas sp. Its description in RNAcentral is "bacterial SSU rRNA". It matches the Rfam family "Bacterial small subunit ribosomal RNA", at positions 73 to 649 of the family's 1533-position model. Lineage: Bacteria; Pseudomonadati; Pseudomonadota; Betaproteobacteria; Rhodocyclales; Azonexaceae. The record is from RNAcentral.
ACGGGCUUCGGUCUGGUGGCGAGUGGCGAACGGGUGAGUAAAGUAUCGGAACGUACCUUUCAGUGGGGGAUAACGUAGCGAAAGUUACGCUAAUACCGCAUAUUCUGUGAGCAGGAAAGCAGGGGAUCGCAAGACCUUGCGCUGAUUGAGCGGCCGAUAUCAGAUUAGCUAGUUGGUGGGGUAAAGGCCUACCAAGGCGACGAUCUGUAGCGGGUCUGAGAGGAUGAUCCGCCACACUGGAACUGAGACACGGUCCAGACUCCUACGGGAGGCAGUAGUGGGGAAUUUUGGACAAUGGGGGCAACCCUGAUCCAGCCAUGCCGCGUGAGUGAAGAAGGCCUUCGGGUUGUAAAGCUCUUUCGGCCGGGAAGAAAUCGCAUGGGCUAAUACCCUGUGUGGAUGACGGUACCGGAAUAAGAAGCACCGGCUAACUACGUGCCAGCAGCCGCGGUAAUACGUAGGGUGCGAGCGUUAAUCGGAAUUACUGGGCGUAAAGCGUGCGCAGGCGGUUUAGUAAGACAGGCGUGAAAUCCCCGGGCUCAACCUGGGAACUGCGCUUGUGACUGCUAAGCUAGAGUAC